Molecule: transfer RNA, 97 nt
Filed under: Bacteroidetes bacterium SW_11_64_17
Lineage: Bacteria; Pseudomonadati; Bacteroidota
Description: tRNA-Ser
Rfam family: tRNA (bases 14-86)
About the family: Transfer RNA (tRNA) molecules are approximately 80 nucleotides in length. Their secondary structure includes four short double-helical elements and three loops (D, anti-codon, and T loops).
Source: RNAcentral
GGAGAUUACCAGCGCCGAGCGGUCGAAGGCGCUCCCCUGCUAAGGGAGUAAACGGUGAUGAGCCGUUUCGGGGGUUCGAAUCCCCCCCUCUCCGCCA